GGACCGGAUACAGGUGCUGCAUGGCUGUCGUCAGCUCGUGUCGUGAGAUGUUGGGUUAAGUCCCGCAACGAGCGCAACCCUCGCCUUAGUUGCCAGCAUUUAGUUGGGCACUCUAAGGGGACUGCCGGUGAUAAGCCGAGAGGAAGGUGGGGAGUGACGUCAAGUCCUCAUGGCCCUUACGGGCUGGGCUACACACGUGCUACAAUGGUGGUGACAGUGGGCAGCGAGCACGCGAGUGUGAGCUAAUCCCCAAAAGCCAUCUCAGUUCGGAUUGCACUCUGCAACUCGAGUGCAUGAAGUUGGAAUCGCUAGUAAUCGUGAAUCAGAAUGUCACGGUGAAUACGUUCCCGGGCCUU
Molecule: ribosomal RNA, 356 nt
Filed under: uncultured Ochrobactrum sp.
Lineage: Bacteria; Pseudomonadati; Pseudomonadota; Alphaproteobacteria; Hyphomicrobiales; Brucellaceae
Description: bacterial SSU rRNA
Rfam family: Bacterial small subunit ribosomal RNA
Source: RNAcentral